This 253-nucleotide ribosomal RNA is filed under the name uncultured bacterium. RNAcentral's name for it is "partial 16S ribosomal RNA". It matches the Rfam family "Bacterial small subunit ribosomal RNA", at positions 524 to 776 of the family's 1533-position model. The record is from RNAcentral.
UACGUAGGGGGCAAGCGUUGUCCGGAUUUAUUGGGCGUAAAGAGCUCGUAGGCGGUCUGUCGCAUCGGAUGUGAAAACCCAGGGCUCAACCCUGGGCCUGCAUUCGAUACGGGCAGACUAGAGUACGGCAGGGGAGACUGGAAUUCCUGGUGUAGCGGUGAAAUGCGCAGAUAUCAGGAGGAACACCGGUGGCGAAGGCGGUUCUCUGGGCCUGUACUGACGCUGAGGAGCGAAAGCGUGGGGAGCGAACAGG